RNAcentral lists this long non-coding RNA (1748 nucleotides) under Heterocephalus glaber (naked mole-rat). RNAcentral's name for it is "lncRNA (ENSHGLG00000033949.1)". The record is from RNAcentral. Lineage: Eukaryota; Metazoa; Chordata; Mammalia; Rodentia; Bathyergidae.
GCCAAGUCAUGUAACGGAAAAAUAAACACACAAAGAAAUACGCCUCGGGGCCGGGAGGACAUGUUAGGGCCCCUUCCCGAGGCUUCUGUCCUCGCCUCUCUUCUCUUCUCUGGGAGGAAGUGCUAAGAAAGAAGGAAAAAACUGCAAGAUCCUUUCGGUCUCGCUCGGCAUUUGUCGGGUCUUUUUCUGACUCCCCCGUCCUGCGUACAAGAGCAAGAGCAAGGGUUGCACGCUUUGUCAGAGAGAGGGAGAAGCUGCACACGUUCCGGGUGUCUGCCGAGACCUGGGAUCCCAGCACACGUGGGACUGUCACGGCGGACACGUUCUCGGCACAUUCCCAGCUCCGACUCGGCGCCUCCUCUGAGUUCAGGCACUGGGACCCUAACUCCAGGAUCUCAGGAUGCGGCAGGUUUUGAAAAUGGCGUCUUCAUAGACAUGAUGGAAUGAGGUCCCCAGGGUGGCCCCGAGCCCAGGGCUGGGUCCUCCUGAAAAGAGGGCGGGAGGACGCGGACACACACAGGGACGCGCUUGUGAGGACACAGGAAGCCUGGGGGGAGCCAGCGUUGCCCACGCUGGGCCUGGGGCCUGCAGCUCCGGGAUGUCCGAAGUUGAAGGGACCAGGCGAGGGGACUUUAAUUUGCAGAGGGAGGGCACAAUUCUGCUCCUAACAGGAAUUAGGCAUGUGGCAAAAUGCGCCUUCUACAACAGUGCUGCGUACACUGGAAAGCAAUGCAUUCUCUCCCUGGUGCAAACUAGAAAAGAAAAAUCAGAAAAGCUAAGUGAGCAAAGGAAACUGCAUCUAAACAGAGUGUUUUACCUGAGAGGGAAAAAGCACUUGUAUGCUCAUCACAAACGGGAGUUCAUACAUCUGGCCUCUCCAUGAGAUUCUUGAUGCCACAUUUUUCUCCCUGGAAGCUGGUGUGGUGGCCCACACCUGUCAGCCCACUACUCUCUCGGGAGGCUGAGGCAGGAGGAUUGCUGCAAGUUUGAGGUCAGCCUGGGCUGUGUAGCAAGACUGUCUCAACAAAACAAAAAUCAAAACAAAAUAAAGCUGUAUGCUUCUGUCCGUGGGAGAGAGACAUCCAUUUCCCUAUCGGCUGUGACAGGCUGGUGUAAACUUUGGAAGCCAGCAACUAUUCGCUUCUUUUUUAUUUUUAGGAGUGCAUAUUUACAACACGUAACGAUUGCAUUCCUCAUGGGGAGGUGGGGUGUGCAUAAUGCAGCUUAAUGCUUUUACUUCUCUUUCUCCUCCUCUCCAUCUUUUUGUCCCCUUCUCAUUUGAGAAAUACCUGUUUCUCUACUUCUUAUUACCUCUCUUUUAUUUUGCUAUUUAUCUAUACUUUCUGUUGCUGAUGUAAGAGAAACCAUGUGAUACUGAAGCUCGUGCAUCUGAUUUAUUUCACUUAACAUUGUGGUUUCAAAGUGCGUCUGUUUUCCUACAAAUGACUCAAAUUUUUCCUUCUUUAUGACUGAGUAGUACUCCAUUGUGUGUAAAUACACUAGACCCUUGACUUAUGAACUCAAUCCAUGCCUGAGAGUGGGUUGUAACUCAAGUUGGUCAGUGGAGGCUCAGCUCCUCCACACAGCCUUCAGAGUCUCUCUCCUGUCCACAGGCAGAGCUCAGUGUCCUUGGAGACACCCUGGCUCAGGAUUUCUCAGUGAACCCCACGCAGGACAGGGUGCUGUCCUGUUCCUUUCACAGCUCUUUAGGGUUCAGUCUGUACCGGAGACAAUCUGGGAGCACAAGC